CACCAGGGAAAAGGGCCACGGUUUUAAGUCUGUCAUUGCCACUAGUCAGAUCAGUAGUACAUUUUGUAUUAAACUGUCCAGUUAACAGGGAAUAACCCAACACGGAAGGCAGAAUCUUUACUGUGGCAGAAGUGCCAAGAGAACUCCAAGCAGCAUUUAAAUGAACAGGCAGUGGUACGGCAUGCAGUUGACCUGUUCUCAGCUCAGGAUUCUUAAGGAUUUCUG
This is a non-coding RNA of Pelobates cultripes (western spadefoot toad), 225 nucleotides long. NCBI's taxonomy places the organism in Eukaryota, Metazoa, Chordata, Amphibia, Anura, Pelobatidae. The record is from the annotation of a GenBank genome assembly.